Molecule: ribosomal RNA, 329 nt
Filed under: uncultured fungus
Lineage: Eukaryota; Fungi
Description: LSU rRNA
Rfam family: Eukaryotic large subunit ribosomal RNA
Source: RNAcentral
AUACUGGCCGGAGACCGAUAGCGCACAAGUAGAGUGAUCGAAAGAUGAAAAGCACCUUGAAAGGAGAGUUAAACAGCACGUGAAAUUGUUGAAAGGGAAGCGCUUGCGACCAGACUCGCCCGCGGGGUUCAGCCGGCAUUCGUGCCGGUGUACUUCCCCGUGGGCGGGCCAGCGUCGGUUUGGGCGGCCGGUCAAAGGCCCCUGGAAUGUAGUGCCCUCCGGGGCACCUUAUAGCCAGGGGUGCAAUGCGGCCAGCCUGGACCGAGGAACGCGCUUCGGCACGGACGCUGGCAUAAUGGUCGUAAACGACCCGUCUUGAAACACGGACC